RNAcentral lists this long non-coding RNA (2502 nucleotides) under Carica papaya (papaya). RNAcentral describes it as "long non-coding RNA (CPAP_LNC002420)". Lineage: Eukaryota; Viridiplantae; Streptophyta; Magnoliopsida; Brassicales; Caricaceae. The record is from RNAcentral.
UUCCAGAAGGAGAGAGGAGAGAGUCGGGGCGGAGGGGAGCGAGAAGGGAGAGGGAAGGAGGUCGUGGACGGACGACGCGACCGGCAGGAAGAAGGAAGAUGGAAACGGGAGGUACGGUGAAAAUUUGAGCUGUUGGUGUGGUGUGUGUGUGUAGAGAAUUUUGUGCAGGUGCGGCGUCGGCAAUGGCGCGACGGAGUGGAGCAGUGAAGGUAGGCCGUAAGCGUGGGGUUGUCCCGCGCGCUCACGGAGGUGAUCGGGGAAGGAAUGGAAAGUAUGGCGGUGUUGGAGGCGUGUGGGGAGCCGUGGGGAAGGAUGGGGGUGGUGCGGGUAGAACAGAGUGAGGAGGAUGUGAGAGAAUAAUCUAGGAGGCGCGGGUGGGAUAAAAACUCAAGAGAACAGAAGAGGUGUGUGCGUGGUGUGUGCGUGGGUGAGGAUGUGGAGGGAGUCGCUAAUAGGCGGUGAUGUGUUUCCCCGAAAUGCACGGUGGUGAGGGCGUGUAUGUGGUGUGAAACGGUGCAAGCUGAGAGGUUAAUCGCCCUAGGUAGGCAAAAGUGUAUAGGAACCGGGAGGAGGCAGGAGGAUGGGGGAGGUAGCGGGUAGGGGGCAGUGGGAGAGGGAAGGGAGCUGGAAGGUACGGCAGUGGGGACUAGGAAACCGGAUUUGAGGGGGAUUGGAUGGGAGAAGGGGAGUAAUGUGGUCAGUAGGAGUUAGCAAGUUAGAACGCUUGGGACUAGCAUGGUAUAAGGAGAGAUGGGAGCAUGCGGUUUGGGAGGGGGAAUUGGGAGGCCGUUGGUAGGGGAGGGUGGAGUUGCCGAUGUUGGUGGAGCAGGGAGGGGAUAUGUAUGUGAGUGUGGCCUAGCAAGGCCGAGAGGGGUAGAAGGGUGCAUGAGUCACGGAUGGUGGUGACGGGAGGUGGAAAUGUUGUGUGUGUGCGUGGCCCAACGAGGUCGAGAGAUGGAGGAGUGAGUAUGAGUCGCCGAUGUUGGUGACGCGAGACGAUGGUAUUUGUGUGUGUGUGUGUGGCCUCUUUAGGUCGAGAGGUGGAGGAUUGAGCAUGAGUCGCCGAUGUUUGUGACGCGAGACGAUGGUAUUUGUGUGUGUGUGUGGCCUCUUUAGGUCGAGAGGUGGAGGAUUGAGCAUGAGUCGCCGAUGUUGGUGACGCGAGACGAUGGUAUUUGUGUGUGAGUGUGGCCUCUUUAGGUCGAGAGGUGGAGGAUUGAGCAUGAGUCGCCGAUGUUGGUGACGCGAGACGAUGGUAUUUGUGUGCGUGUGUGGCCUCUUUAGGUCGAGAGGUGGAGGAUUGAGCAUGAGUCGCCGAUGUUGGUGACGCGAGACGAUAGUAUUUGUGUGUGUGUGUGGCCUCUUUAGGUCGAGAGGUGGAGGAUUGAGCAUGAGUCGCCGAUGUUGGUGACGCGAGGCGAUGGUAUUCGUGUGUGUGUGUGGCCUCUUUGGGUCGAGAGGUGGAGGAGUGAGUGUGAGUCGCCGAUGUUGGUGACGCGGAAUAAUGGUGUGUGGGUGGGUGCGUGGCCUAUUAGGUCGAGAGGUGGAGAUAUGGGUAUGAGUCGCCGAUAUUGGUGACGUGGAAUGAAGGUGGUUGGUCGGGGUUUGCAGCGAUAACUUGGUGGAGUAAGAACGGAAUUGGGAUCCGAGCGGCUGGUAACGGAGCCCCGUCGGUAGUGCCAUAGGGCACAAGUUUUGUUUGUGAUUUAAAGUAGUUUGAAAGGAUGGUUUAGUCUGGAUAUUGAAUAUCUAGGAAUGUUUGAUAUUGUAUUACUAUGUGCUGUAGAGGUGGAGAUGUAUGUACAAUUGAUUUGGAACAUGGAAGGUGGACCAAUUUCUCUUGUGCAUGGUUGGAAUAAUAUGGAUUUCGGUAUUGUGUUGUAUGAGUGCUUUAUCGUACACCGUUAAGAAAAAAAAAACGGGGUGUUACAGUUGGUAUCAGAGCAAAACUAAGUAUACCUACUAACUGGUAUAACUAUCCUGCAGGUGUGUCAAGGGAGGUGACGAAGAAAGGACGGGGCCGACCCCGUCGCGGAGCUGUCCCGGGGUUGCGGGACUCACCGGGGAUUCCACAACGACCACCUGGGUGUCCCCAGGUACCACUCCCAGCAUUUUACGGGCCACCCCCGUAUCAAGCGGUGCCCCCUCCCACACAACCGAGGCCCGCGCCUGGCCCAGCGGUAAACCAGACGGGACUGCCUGGGGUACAACAGGAAGACUUCAACCGACUGUGUAGAGUGGUGGAGAGUCUGGCCACAGUGAUCAGAGAUAGAGAACUACGGGCUGAGACAACCUCGGUCCCACAACCGGGGAUUCACCAGGGUGUGGUGGACACCAGCAAUAUUGAGAAGUAUCGAAGGUUAAACCCUCCUGCUUUCAAUGGGAGUACCGAUCCCUUGGUGGCGGAAGACUGGAUAAAGGAGACCGAAAAAUUAUUCGAAGCGAUCACAGUGACCACUGAACAGAAGGUGCAACUGGCCACAUUUAUGUUUAGAGGAUCCG